ACUCAAAUGAAUAGACGGGGGCCCGCACAAGCGGUGGAGCAUGUGGGUUAAUCGGAUGAUACGCCGAGAACCUUACCAGGGCUUGACAUGGCCUGGCCCGCCUACGAAAGUAGGUUUUCUCAGCAAUGAGACCGGGUCACAGGUGGUGCAUGGUUGUCGUCAGCUCGUGUCGUGAGAUGUUGGGUUAAGUCCCGCAACGAGCGCAACCCUCGUCGGAUGUUGCCAGCGGUUCGGCCGGGCACUCUUCCGAGACUGCCCGAGCAAUUGGGAGGAAGGAGAGGACGACGUCAAAUCGGCAUGCCCCUUACGUCCUGGGCUGCACACGUGCUACAAUGGCAGGUACAAAGGGCUGCGAAGCCGCGAGGUGGAGCCAAUCCCCCAAAACCUGUCUCAGUUCGGAUCGGAUGUCUGCAACUCGACUCCGUGAAGCUGGAAUCGCUAGUAACCGUGGAUCAGCAAUGCCGCGGUGAAUACGUUCCCGGGCCUUGCACACACCGCCCGU
This 502-nucleotide ribosomal RNA is filed under the name uncultured bacterium. RNAcentral's name for it is "bacterial SSU rRNA". It matches the Rfam family "Bacterial small subunit ribosomal RNA", at positions 899 to 1397 of the family's 1533-position model. The record is from RNAcentral.